UCAUCACAAUCGUCGUUCAAUAUGAACAAGCCCCUCACAUUGGUUGCAUGACCAUCAAGUGUAUUACUCAUAUAAAAUAGAAAAACCAUUAUUCUCUGACUUAAAUGAGUUACCGUCUUGCAAUAAACAAGAUCCAGAUAUAAUGUUCAUGCUCAACGCAGCCACUAAAUAAAAAUUAUUUAAGUUCAUCACUAAUCCCAAUGGUAACUGAAGUGAGAGCGUGUCGACGGCAAUCACAUCAACCUUGGAACCAUUUCCCACGCGCAUCGUCACUUCAUCCUUCGCCACCCUUCAUUUAUUCUGCAG
This 306-nucleotide long non-coding RNA is filed under the name Hordeum vulgare. RNAcentral's name for it is "long non-coding RNA (HVUL_LNC007458)". The record is from RNAcentral. Lineage: Eukaryota; Viridiplantae; Streptophyta; Magnoliopsida; Poales; Poaceae.